UAGCAUAUGCUUGUCUCAAAGAUUAAGCCAUGCAUGUCUAAGUACAAGCCGCUAUGCGGCGAAACCGCGAAUGGCUCAUUAAAUCAGUUAUGGUUCCUUAGAUCGUACCAUCCUACUUGGAUAACUGUGGUAAUUCUAGAGCUAAUACAUGCAAACAAGCCCCGACCUCACGGGAGGGGUGCUUUUAUUAGAUCAAAACCAAUCGGGUUUCGGCCCGUCCAUUUGGUGACUCUGAAUAACUUUGAGCUGAUCGCACGGUCUCGAACCGGCGACGCAUCUUUCAAAUGUCUGCCUUAUCAACUGUCGAUGGUAGGUUAUGCGCCUACCAUGGUUGCAACGGGUAACGGGGAAUCAGGGUUCGAUUCCGGAGAGGGAGCCUGAGAAACGGCUACCACAUCCAAGGAAGGCAGCAGGCGCGCAAAUUACCCACUCCCGGCACGGGGAGGUAGUGACGAAAAAUAACGAUACGGGACUCUUCCGAGGCCCCGUGAUUGGAAUGAGUACACUUUAAAUCCUUUAACGAGGACCUAUU
This 532-nucleotide ribosomal RNA is filed under the name uncultured eukaryote. RNAcentral describes it as "SSU rRNA". It matches the Rfam family "Eukaryotic small subunit ribosomal RNA", at positions 25 to 549 of the family's 1831-position model. The record is from RNAcentral.